RNAcentral lists this long non-coding RNA (432 nucleotides) under Oryza brachyantha (malo sina). Its description in RNAcentral is "long non-coding RNA (OBRA_LNC000756)". Lineage: Eukaryota; Viridiplantae; Streptophyta; Magnoliopsida; Poales; Poaceae. The record is from RNAcentral.
CGAGCCAUGCGGGCUCGGCGAGCUGUUCCAGGACGCGGCGAGCCACAUCGAGGACCUGCAGAUGCAGGUGAAACUCAUGCGGAUGCUGCUCGAGAAGCUCUCCGAGGACUGAUCGAAGAGAUAACCAAUCCGGCGUCGCCGCGUCAGCGCUGUGUUGGCUUACACGACAUUGCAUGCAUACGCGGGUCGUGAUUAGUUCUGUCCAUGCAUGAAUCGACCGGCCGGCAGGAAAACAAACUCGUAUAUAUAGUACAACCCAAUUCAUCCAGAUAUACCAGAUUAUUUCAGAGUGCGAAAAUUACUUUUAUUUGUUGGUGAUGCUGUAUUGUUGUUUGAUUCAUUUAUGCAUUUUUCUUCUCUCGAACAAUGUAUAUGUGUGUUCAUUAUUUAAUUGCAUUAUAUUGUGGUGGUGGAAGUACUAUAAAACACGAA